GGGCCAGGCGGAAGACAUUG
RNAcentral lists this ribosomal RNA (20 nucleotides) under Dendrobium officinale. RNAcentral's name for it is "partial 18S ribosomal RNA". The record is from RNAcentral. Lineage: Eukaryota; Viridiplantae; Streptophyta; Magnoliopsida; Asparagales; Orchidaceae.